This is a long non-coding RNA of Trachemys scripta elegans, 3039 nucleotides long. RefSeq lists it as uncharacterized. The transcript has 3 exons. Lineage: Eukaryota; Metazoa; Chordata; Testudines; Emydidae. The record is from RefSeq and is a predicted model, not a curated record.
CAAGCUACUUGAGGCUGACAGCACACAUUAGGAGUAACUGCACUGAAGCCAAUGAAAUCGCACCAGAGGUCAGAGUGAUUUAAGUGAGCAAAGGUUUCAUCUGGGAUGGAAGUACCACUAGACAUGUCAUCCCACUGUUCUGGACCUAAGAUGAAACCAGGGAAUAUUGGCUUGAAGCUGAUAUAUUGUGACACCAGCUAUCUACAGACACGAGCACCCUUAACAAUCCCUCUCCUUUUCCUUCGUGCCCAGCAAUGAUUGCCAUGGGGAUUUUGCAGUUGUACUGGAAGUCCAAAGAGGCAUGUGUUGUGUCAGAGGACACCCUGAAGACACACUAUUCAUUACACAAACUCUUUAUCAAAUGGAACAAGGAAACAAAAACACAACACACAGCUGCAACAUUACUAUGCCUGAUUCUUCCCAGCCUCCACCCUCUAUUGUAGCCAUGUUAUUACCAGUCAAGGGCUUGAAUACCACAGGGAUGGGUAUUCACAGUAUAAAACCUUAGAUUAAAGAAGAAAAAAAAUGUACCGUAUCUAGGCUUAUCACAAUCUUCCUAUCACUCACUUAUGGGCACUCUUUGCACCCCUUUUCUGAUGUGAGCCUGAGUCCAGGCCUUAGGUUGGACUUAUGUUCAGACCCAUUUGAUUGCAAAAUCCAGUCUGAAUUAAUAUCAAAUGCUUAAAAUGGCUGCCCCCAUUCAUGUUCAGGAGCCAUGUUGACCCACUCCCUCCUGCCCUUUUAACUGGAUGUAGACUAGAAUUGGUUGAAAAACUUUGAAAUUCAAAAAUGUGUGGUGGAGGGGAAAAAAACAAAAAAAUGUUGAGGAAGAAUGUUCCCAUUUCCCCCCCAACCUUUCCUGCCUGUGUCCUUCCAGUGCCAAGCUACUUCCUCCCCAUUUGUCCCUAACUAUUAAGCAAAAGGGAAGAGGAGGAGCCUCCUUUACUUCAUCCUUACCCUGAUGCCCUGACUCUCUUUUCCAUCUUGUCUAGCUUUCUCCCUUGGCCUUCUCUCCUCCAUAGCAGUGCUCAAUAUCUGGAUUGCCACUAAGUCUCUGUCAAGCGCUCAUGAUAGAUAGUUGGCACCCAACAAUUCUGAUAAAGAACAACUUGUCACAUUUGUAAUGGAUUUCAUAGCUUUCUUUGCUAUGUUUGUCAUUAAUUACCAAUGACAAAUGGAGAUUUGCGUUUCAACCAAUUUUGCGCACUCAAGGUUCAUUUCCUUGUCUGAUUUGAUCCUGCAAUGAAAUCUUAAUGGUAGAGUUGAUAUGUCUCUGGAAGGAAAGCGAUUUCCAGCCAGUGCUCCUUCACAAAAAGACAGAGCCUGUCACUGUCACAAUCCUUUUUAUAGCCAUGUAUUGUCAAAAGAUAAUGGACGUUAGCCUAGAACUCUGGAUCCACCUUUUAGGCAUAACCCUGCACCACUGAUGUAUUUGGAGGACUUGAAUAGGAGCAGGAUCAAGACUUUUCUCAGGAAAUGUGCUGUGUGUGCUGGUGAUCUUCACAAGGCGCCUAAUGGGAGAAGAACUUGCCAUCAGCUCUGGACUAGCUGUGGUGGUGCAGUAUGAGCCCCUGAUCCACAAAGAGGAAGGCAGAGAUGUUGUGGAUUGAUCCAUGUAGCAGCAGAUCUAUUAGCCUCACCCCUGCUGUACCCCUGAUCCCAUGACACACAUACAAUGAGGGCACUCUAAUGGAAUAAGGCUUUACCACACAAACCAUGAGUAUCUGCUGUGUACCCUUCCCAAAAUCCUAGCCUUGCCUCUAUACAGUAGAACCUACACUGGCUCAGCAGUGCAGGGGCCCUUCAUACUGCUGAGGAAGGAGCUGAAAAAUAUCGCCCACGGUUUUGUUUUGUACAUGUUUCCUUUUCCCAGCUUGGCUCCAGUACAUGAAUUCUGCUUUACAGCCAGGGAUCUAAUAUAAUUAACUAAGCAAUAAGCCUCUGCGCCCUAGAACAUGUCUAGCCUUUCAGAUUAAGGGUUCUCCUAUCACACCCUCUGCUUUCUAAGUAGUCUGCAUCUUGAUAAACACCACUGUUCCUGGGGAGGGUAAGCAUGUAACCAUGGGGUGUUGGAAGACUGUCCUCCCUCCAAAUUAGAGAUGGGCUAAAUCAGACACUUGAAUCCAAACCCAUUAUUCAUAUAGGGGGGGCUGGGCGUUCAGAUUUGAUUCCUUUCCUGUUUUGGCUCUGGGUCAGAUCCCAAACUGGAUGAGGUCUCUCUUCUGGUCCCAGUUUUUUAUGUGGCUGCAGUCUAGCAGGAGCAACUUGUAAGAUCUCACUGUCAUGAGAUCUAUACUGAUUCUGAAGCCCUGAUCUGGCCUUCAACCCAAAUGAUAGACUCGGGGUUAGAUUUGGGCUAGCACCAAACCUACCCAGACCAUCUGUAGCUGAGACAUGGGGGAGUUUCUGUACUGGAAAACUACUUUGGAAAUUGGAGAGUUUCUCUUCCAUAAAGGAACUACAGACCGUACCUCUUAAAUCUUUUCCUUCCUCAUGCAGUUCCCUCCUCCAUCACGUAUCUUUCCUUUAUCUGCCGCAGUAGUGGGGCUGGAUGUCCAAAUUCUAAGUGGAGCUUAUGCUAACAUUGUGGGUGAUGGAUUUCUUCUUCCUUUUCACCUUGGAUUCUUAGUCAGGAACCAGUGUUAGAAAUGUUUCCAUGGGCAAAUCAGAAAGCAUUUCCUUUAAAAACCGAAUCUAACCGCAGUUAGAUUAAUGAAAACCUAAACGCUGGGUGGUUUAUGGAGCACACAGAUGAAGCAGUCACAUCCACACGUCAAGUGUAUUUUCAAAGUGGAGCAUAGGGUUUUAGCCACAUGACUCCCCAUUAAUGUUAAUAGGAACUGCACAGCCAAAUCCCUGCAUGCUGCUUUGAUAAUGUAGUGGCAUAUGUUUAAGAUGUGCAGAUUGAGUUGACAUGGACUCUUAUCUCUUCAGUGUUUCUACUGACUCUUUCACUAGUGUAUUUAUUGAAACAUCAUGUACUUGUCCCUUUCAUUUUUGUUCAAAGCCCAUGGUGGUGUAUGUUCAAUUAAAGCAAUC